This is a long non-coding RNA of Salvelinus fontinalis (brook trout), 7081 nucleotides long. RefSeq lists it as uncharacterized. The transcript has 3 exons. NCBI's taxonomy places the organism in Eukaryota, Metazoa, Chordata, Actinopteri, Salmoniformes, Salmonidae. The record is from RefSeq and is a predicted model, not a curated record.
UUAUUUUUUUUGUUUUGCUGACGACAAGCUGGUGACUCCUAGUUACAGGGCGGCAGCUUCGAUCGCACAUGGCAGACGACAAAAGGGUUGUGUUUCAGCUCGCAAAGCGGUUCACAAAUAUAUUCAGAACACACUAUGCAGCCGGUCUGUAUACCUCAGUGUUGUGUGCAGCCUGUCCGAGUGGUGAGAUGCCUUUGGAUUUACGGCGUAAAAAACAACAUUAAUUUAUUGGGUUAGGCUGAAAGGCUGUAAAGUUGAGCAUCCCACUGCUACUGUUCUAGAUGACUGCUGGGAAUAUACAAGUAGACAAGGCAGUGGUUUUGGUUGGACAGUUGGAAAAACUUGCUGAUGAGAAUGGUUGGAGGUUGGCCCUUCCGUGGUGAUUCAGUAUGGGGAUGUGCUUACCGUGCCUUGGUGGACCUGGAAACGACUUGUCCACCACACCAGAUCGAGUAAGUAACUUGUUACAGUAGCUAGGUUCAUUAUUAGCUUGGUUGCUGCCGGUAACUAGCGAGCUACACUUUAUAUAUAUUGCCAGCUGUGUAUGUAUACACACACACACACACAAUUGUCUGUUUCAGGUCAACAUCGUAAACAAAUUGUAAAUAUAUUUGGAUUCCAAAAUGAAACAAUGUAACAUAAAACAGCGUAACCAAUAAACACCAAAACAAUAAGAAUUAUACGUUCCCAUUCAGAUUUCUGCUCUUCAUUUCUCAUUACUUGAAUAUUUUUUUUCUCCUCAUUAAUUUCAUUUAACAUUAUACUUUUUUAAUUUAAAUUUUCCUCCCACUCAACAUGUUCUGCUAUUUUUUUUCAGUCCAGGACUAGGAUUAAUGUGUCCAGGAAACCAGCCCUAUAUAGCCCACACAUGGUGGUCCUGUGUGGCUCAGUUGGAUUAGGGUGUGGUGAGGUUGUGGGGUCAGUUCCCGCAGGGAUCCUGUACACCACUGUACCAUGAGUCAUUUAGCUGGGAUGAGGGUCUUCUAAGUGGAGUACUGUAGACAACCACUGAACAGUCAGUAGAGCUGGGCGAUACGGACACAAAUCCAUAUUGUGAUAAAUUGCCUGAAUUUAUGCGAUAAAGUUUAUAACAUUUAAUGUGCACCAUGUGUACAAAAAAAAUGAAAUCCUUUAAACUACUACUAGUUGUAUGGUUGUAGCCAUCUAUUGUUCCAUGAACAAUCAGUCAUAUUAGAAAACAUUUAAUUUCAAAACACAUUUCUCUAGUUAUAGGCUACUUAUCGUAAUGAACGAUAUCUGCCAAAAUGCCUGUGAUAAGUGAUCGGUAUGGUUUAUUUGUCCCAACUCUACCAGUUCAUCUCAGCAGCCAGCCACUCUCCCAGUCUUGUUAUUCGUAUAGAAGAGCUUCCUGAGACAGAGUGGAGUCUGCUGGGAGAAGAGAGAAGGCAUCUCAUUACCUUUCCCUUUUACCACUAUCGUGUUAACUGACCGAAAACCCCUACUGCGCUGGCUCCAAUCCCUUCCCAGUACGGUUCCAGCAGCUACAGAUGUAGGAUCUUAAUGUGAUCACCCUGUUGCAGGAGAACUUGCAGUAUAUUUGAGAUUUAAAAAGUCUUCUGAACUUUGUAAUUUCCACUGUGAUAUUUCAGACUCGAUUUUUCCCUUACGAAAAAUGUAUCAACUCCUACAAAAAAAAAAAAUCAAUUUAAUUAUAAUACACAUAAUAAUUCACUUAUCCUGUUGCUGCGUGAUAAUGUUCAGGCUGUAGCAAACUGGCUCAAAUGAAGAUCCUACAUCUGUACGGUAGAUGUGCCGUGUAACCAGGUCAGCACACUGCAGCUCGGCUUGAUUCGGCUCCAUAGUGUGAAAAGGUUAGCCGAAUAUAACGAGCCUUGAACCAAGAAAUCCAAUCUAGAAAUUCAAUCUAUGGUGUUUUGUACCCUUUGUUGCAAGGCUACUAAAGUCUCUUCAAUCAUAAUGUUUAGUAGCUCCUCAUAAGACUGGUGGGUAUUUUUUUUUACUGUUAUACAGAAAUUCUUCAGUCAAAGCCAAUUGUAUCCAACCCAUAAAACAUGUGGUCCUACUAAAGCAUCGAGGUGAGUAUGAAGACCGUGUUCUUAGCUCCAUGUUUUGACUCGGCUGGUAUUUCCUCCCACCACCCACACGACCCACCUCUCACUUCUGGUGCUGCACACUUUGUCAUUCUGUCUUAACUUUAUUUUAAACGUUCCUUACCCUGGUUCCAGAUCUGUUUGUGCUGUCCAAUGGUUAUUGUCACUCCGUUGACCACAGGAGUUGGCAAGACGGCACAAACAGAUCUGGAACCAGGCUAUAUGCUUUCCCCGACACAACAACACUAUAUACUGGAACUUAAUGCCUCUAACAGAUCUGGGAACAGGCCUCUUGCCACAUUGGAGGUCAUAUAAUCCAGCCUGUGUCAAACAGCUGGCAACUGGGUUCCCACUAGAUAGGACAGCCACAAAGUCAAAAUUGGCUAUAUUGUAAAAUUCAUGAUUUUUUUUUGUUGUUGUCUUAAUUUAAGGCAUAAGGCUAGCAGUGUGGUUAUGGUUAGGUUUAAAAUAAUAUUUUAACAAGAUCAAUUGUAGAAAUAUGUGGUGUUUGACUUUGUGGCUGUGGUAACGGCUAUCUGUCUGCAUGAACUGUACUGAAUGUCUCUCAGGAAGUCUGAUAACUGGCUUCCCUGCUCAAUGGCGAGCACUAUCCUCUCUCUGGAAGUCUGACAACUGGCUUCCCUGCCCAAUGGCGAGCACUAUCCUCUCUCUGGAAGUCUGACAACUGGCUUCCCUGCCCAAUGGCGAGCACUAUCCUCUUUCAGGAAGUCUGAUAACUGGCUGCUCUGCUCAAUGGCGAGCACUAUCCUCUCUCUGGAAGCUGUUUGAUUUGCAACCCUUCUGUAUCUAGCGUUUAACCGUACAAAUAGAAUUACGUUCAACAUAAUAUUUCUAGUCAGAUCAUGACAUGCACAUCUAGGCCUGUAUUCUAGUAAAACUCUUGUCUGUAAAUUCUCUCAAUUAUGCGAGACCCAUUUCUGAAAAGAUCGAUGAAGUGAACUGAAGACGAUGAAUUAACUCGUUUCAACUGAACACAUGAUAAGAGACGUUAGACUUGUAACAGUGUAGUCAACACUAUGGGCCCUUGUCUAAAGUAGUGCACUAUAUAGGGAAUAGGGUUCUAUAGGGCCCUGGUCUAAAGUAGUGCACUAUAUAGGGAAUAGGGUUCUAUAGGGCCCUGGUCUAAAGUAGUGCACUAUAUAGGGAAUAGGGUUCUAUAGGGCCCUGGUCUAAAGUAGUGCACUAUAUAGGGAAUAUGGUUCUAUAGGGCCCUGGUCUAAAGUAGUGCACUAUAUAUAGGGUUCUAUAGGGCCCUGGUCUAAAGUAGUGCACUAUAUAGGGAAUAGGGUUCUAUAGGGCCCUGGUCUAAAGUAGUGCACUAUAUAGGGAAUAGGGUUCUAUAGGGCUCUGGUCUAAAGUAGUGCACUAUAUAGGGAAUAGGGUUCUAUAGGGCCCUGGUCUAAAGUAGUGCACUAUAUAGGGAAUAGGGUUCUAUAGGGCUCUGGUCUAAAGUAGUGCACUAUAUAGGGAAUAGGGUUCUAUAGGAUCCUGGUCUAAAGUAGUGCACUACAUAGGGAAUAGGGUUCCAGUGGGGACAGAGCCGUGUGUCUGUAGCUGCCAUUCUGACCUCUCCAUCUCCUCUUAGACAACCUACAGGGGUGUCAAAAACCCCCAAGCAGUUGAGAGAAAUAAAAAGAAUAAGGAGAUGGAGAAACAAGAGAUGAGACCGUCUCCGCCUGGAGGAGAAGGAGGAGGAGGGAUGAAGUGGCAGGUAGGCUAAAGAUAGACAUGGAGAGAUCCUGGAAGUCUCAAUGUAGACUGAGGUUCAGCUAACAACAUGAAGAUGGUACUAGUUGACUUAAAGGCUUUUUUUUUUUGAAUAUCAGCCCUUAUACUAGAUUUUUUAUUUUUAAAUGCAAGCCUUUUUUAGAGGCGAUUGUGUGUCUGCAUCUCUCAACUUCGUAGGAUAGUUUGCCGGGCUUCGACGCUGGUAAAAUAAAUAAAUAAAAAAUUCUGCUGCCCAAUGUUGGCCGUGUGAAUCACAGGACAUGCCUCCCUUAAUGCCAAGAUAUACAAGAGAAUAUGCAAGCCAGCCAAUGGAGCUUUGGAACAGACAGGGUGGCGUAGCUAUGAAUAGAAUAUAAACACUCGGAGGAAAUAUGCUCUCACACUACAUCGAUAAACUGUACCAGGCGUCUUGCAGUGAACUCUCUCUCUUUGUGUUCUCUUUGUCCUCUCGCCUUUCUUUCUCUCAGCCAUUUCCACUGUGCCAGCUUUAACACCAUGGCGCUUACUUCUUUUGCAAUUGUUUCAGACAUUUUGAACUUUGAGGAAUAUUCUUGUGAUCUAUUUACCGUAUAGUAUAUUUUCCUUCUAAAAUGAUUUUAUGCAACAAUGUCCUUUUUACUGUUCAAAAUAGGCCUAGAUGAUUCAAAUGUCAUUUUCUAUUGUAGAUCAGUGUGAAAAGAACUACGUUUCCCAUAGCUACUGAUGAACCACGUGAACGUUUUAGAGUUCCCGCACCAGCACUAUUCAGUUGACUUUUCUAUUGUAGAUCAGUGUGAAAAGAACUACGUUUCCCGUGUUGUACUCACUUCGCCUCCAUGGCCUUUUUAUAUUUUUAUUUAUUUAUACAUAUAUCUGUUUGCCUUCACCUCCCUUAUCUCACCUCACUUACUCACAUUGUAUAUAGACUUAUUUUUUUAUCUUUUUCACUGUAUUAUUGACUAUAUGUUUGUUUUUACUCCAUGUGUAACUAUGUGUUGUUGUAUGUGUCGAACUGCUUUGCUUUAUCUUGGCCAGGUCGCAAUUGUAAAUGAGAACGUGUUCUCAAUUUGCCUACCUGGUUAAAUAAAGGUUAAAUAAAUAAAUAAAUAAAAAUAGCUACUGAUGAAUGUUUUAGAGUUCACGCACCAGCACUAUUCAGUUGACUUUUCUAUUGUAGAUCAGUGUGAAAAGAACUACGUUUCCCAUAGCUACUGAUGAAUGUUUUAGAGUUCACGCACCAGCACUAUUCAGUUGACUUCACUUUAGUGUUUGAUUUUCAUAUGUCUGUGCAAUAUAAGUUAUUUGCUACACGUUGUAUUGGUUUGUAAUGUAUAAAGAAAAUGCUAUAUUUUAAAUGAGGUAAGAAGUUUGAGUCGUGAAAGCCUGAUGAAAGUGUUUUUUUAUGCAUGAAUAUUUCUUAUUUUUUUCCUCUCAUUUCAACCUGUUCAGUAAUAUUGUUGUCAUGACAAUGUUCCAGGAAUUAUUUUAUCCAAACAUACACCGGUGUCACAAUGUUCUUUCUUGGGUAUGCAGUCUGUUGUCAGGAUGGUAAUAGGACUACCGUUAUUCACCAGGUUUCAGUCCAUUUCAGUUCAGGAAGUACACUGAAAUUACAAUUAUCUGCAAUGCUUUUCAAUGAGGAACAUUUUUUUUGGAUUUACUUUCUGAAUUGAAAUAGAAUUGACCCCAACCCUGUCAUCCACUGGGGCGUACCUGUCCACGAUGAUAACUGCAGAUCUGUCAUCCACUGGGGCGUACCUGUCCACGGUGAUAACUCUGCAGAUCUGUCAUCCACUGGGGCGUACCUGUCCACGAUGAUAACUCUGCAGAUCUGUCAUCCACUGGGGCGUACCUGUCCACGAUGAUAACUCUGCAGAUCUCAGAAGGAAAUGGGAAGAGAGCCUGAACCAGCAGGUGUUAUUGUGCACUUGGAAGUAUUGCAUUUAUACCUGCCUUGCUUUUUAUACUUGAGGUUUCUUCUUCCUAUACCCACCUAGUGCUUCAAAGGCUCUUGCCAUUUUGAGGUGCAUGAAGUCACGCCAAUGUCAUUUUGUUGAAAUAACGUUGUCAGAUGACUGUUGUUUUUGACCUGGGGCAAUUGUGCACCGCCUUAUGGGACUCCCGAUCACGGCCGGUUGUGAUACAGCCCAGGAUCGAACCAGGGUCUGUAGUGAUGCCUCUAGCACUGAGGUGCAGUGCCUUAGACCGCUGAGCAUAACAAUGUGUUUAUAAAUAAUGUAAAAUAAUAAACAAUUUGUCACAUACACUGGAAAGGUGCAGUUUACAGGGUCAGCCAUAGUACAGCACUCCUGGAGCAAAUUAGGGUUAUAAGUGCCUUGCGCAAGGGCACAUUAACAGAUUAUUCACCUUGUCGGCUCGGGUAUUCAAACCGUCAACCUUUCGGUUACUGGCCCAACACUAACCACUAGGCUACCUGCCACCCUUUAUGAUGGACACACAAAUCAAAUCAGAGUUAAUUGGUCACGUACACAGAUAUAUAUAUAUAAAAAAAGAUGCUUUUAUCUUGCUCCAACAGUGCAGUAAUACACAUAUAAACCAAAAAGUAAUAGAAAGAUAUUAAGAAAUAUCAGAACGAGCAAUGUCAUAGUCCGGAAUAUACAGUGUGUGUACACUACUUGUCAAAAGUUUUAGAACACCUACUCAUUCAAUGGUUUUUCUUUAUUUCUACUAUUUCUACUGGCCUCUUUCUAGAGCUCCGACUUCCCGAUUCAUCUCGAAAGCACCAUAAUAGCUCAGAAAUGAGCGAAAUGACAGGCUACUUUGACACUGACAAACUGAGAUGAAUGAAAACCACCUCUUCUUGAGUCCAUCAAUAGCCAACGCCUAGUUGUGUGGAGACUAUAGGAAAUUAUAGUCCUAAAAAUGCUUUCCAGUUUCACUGAUUCACCCAAAGAUGUGCGGCUCACUCACUGGUGAUGGCCUAUGCGCGCGUCCCCGACUGUAGACUAUGCCUUGUAUUGUACACUCCAAUAGGCUAUUUAUCCUCUGUGGCAAACGUUUAGGCGUUCUCAUGGUGUAGUAGGCUAUUCUGAAUUAUUAAAUGUAUUUCUGAACAGACAGCAGUAACUCUAUAACUUUGGCACAUUUAUUUCAAUUUCUCAUGCGUGCUUCAGCUCCUCCAGAACCCUUCGUAUGAUUCUAUAAGGGGAAUGAUGAAGUGCGACGCUGGAGAGAUGAGAGUUGCAGGCUCAUGUCUAUCAGAGCAGAGAGAGAUUUUAGAAAGGGAAUCUCAUUCUAGUUUGGUGAGAGAUACAGGGGGG